Molecule: ribosomal RNA, 811 nt
Filed under: Calycina ellisii
Lineage: Eukaryota; Fungi; Ascomycota; Leotiomycetes; Helotiales; Pezizellaceae
Description: SSU rRNA
Rfam family: Bacterial small subunit ribosomal RNA
Source: RNAcentral
GUUAGCUAUAUUUGGUUUAUAUAAGUAAUUAUCUUUAGUCUUAUCCAUUAAAGUUAAUUAUUUUAUUAAUUUACUGCUUGUUAGUUAGAUAAUGAACCUUCUAAAUACUUAACUGAGUAAUUUUACUCAGGCGGACUGUAUAGUAUCGACUUUGUCGAAUAAAGUUCUAGAUAUAAGACUGAUUAUGACAAUUUUAUUAUCUAUAUGUCUUGACCAAAUUACGUGCCAGCAGUCGCGGUAAUACGUAGAAGACUAGUGUUAUUCAUCUUUAGUAGGUUUAAAGGGUACCUAGACGGUAAAAUUAAUCUUAAAUAGGAUAUGUUUUUACUAGAGUUAUAUGUGAGGAGGGGAGUAUUUAUGGAGUAGAGUUGAAAUUUGUUGAUACCAUAACGACUGGUAGCGGCGAAAGCAACCUUUUAUGUAAUAACUGACGUUGAGGGACGAAGGCUCGGGUCACGAACAGGAUUAGAUACCCUAGUAGUCCAAGCAGAGAAUUAUGAAUGCCAUAGAUUAGAUGUUAUUUAGUCUAUAAAUGAAAAUGCAAGCAUUUCACCUCAAGAGUAAUGUGGCAACGCAGGAACUGAAAUCAUUAGACCGUUUCUGAAACCAGUAGUGAAGUAUGUUAUUUAAUUCGUAGGCACGCGAAAAACCUUACCACAAUUUGAAUAUUAUCUUUAUAAGAUAUUACAAGCGUUGCACGGCUGUCUUCAGUUAAUGUCGUGAGAUAUUGGUUAAUUCCUUUAAAUUAACGGAAGCUCUUGCUUUACUUGCUUUUUAUUAGGAUGGAUUUUACUUCUAUAAAUAAAAAGAA